UCGUGUUUAAGUCUAAUUAAUUAAUUCCUAUUGUUCCUUCUUCAAUUUAUUAUCAAUCGAAUUGAUUACUCGUUAUUCAUAAUCACUUUUCAACCAUCGGAUCGGUCAAUACUUCUAGUAUGUGUGACCCCAUAGGUUCUAUUCUGACUGGUAGUGAGAUAUAUUGUGAUCUCUAUCACAAUAUCAUUGAAAACUCUUUUCAAUUGGUCGGAAUGAUUCCAACUCUACUCAUUAGGGUUUAUCGAUCAUCGAAAUAAUCCCUGUGAGUCUCACCAUCCACCAGUGACACCUAGCAGCAUGUAGUGGCUAUCCAGCAGAAUAGAAUGAUGAACCUCUAGGUGCAGUUAUCGUGUGAUACAGUCCUACUAUCGUGGAUCCCUACAGGAUGGAGAUCAUGGACAACUCGUCAAACCCCAUCGUCUGUCAUAUGUCAAGAUUUAUUCGACUUAAGCUCGAGAGUGAAAAACUCUUUCUCCACUAUACAAUCUGCCCCGACCGAGGUCUUACGAACUCAGUCUUAUAAAUUACAUAAGAUCUCUCCUUAUCUAUCAAGGUCGAUAGAUUUCUUAUAGGUGCAUAUCUACUCCUACAGUAAACUUACUGCAGCCAAUCUACACUACCUGGACCUAUAUGGCUAGAGACCAUGUAUAUGUGUAGUCAAACUACAAUAACCUCACUGUGAGUAGCCGAAGCAUCGCAGGUCAAAGGACUAGUCAUACUACUGCAACAUCAAGCAAGUCAAGUCACUGACGAGUGGAUAGACAUCCAAGUGACUUCUUGUUUUGGUCACGCUCAGUACCCUUGUUCUUAACAAGCACCUGCACUAUUACUUCAGUGUCGCCAAACUGUGGACUCGAGUCUCGUCCAUCCAUAAGAAAAGCAAUGUGUGCACCAAUCGGAUCGAUCACCGUCCUCGUGAUGAUCCAUUGAUCAGGAGCAUUCAAAAAUUAAUCACCAAUGAUGCAUGGCUCAAAUUCUUAACUCUUAAGAAUAUGCAUCAUCAUCUUAUUAAUUCUUGAACGAUUCAUAGACACAUAAAAAAGAUGCCUUUUAUUUAUUCAAUAAUAAAUAGUCAAGUACAAAAUUAUGUUCCUAGA
Molecule: long non-coding RNA, 1097 nt
Filed under: Phoenix dactylifera (date palm)
Lineage: Eukaryota; Viridiplantae; Streptophyta; Magnoliopsida; Arecales; Arecaceae
Description: long non-coding RNA (PDAC_LNC009914)
Source: RNAcentral